CACCAGCCUGGGCAGCAGCCUGGCCCUGACUCCUCGGAGCUCCCAUGCCCAGCCCAGUUCUCAGGGCCCCGUUCGCCUGGCUUCUGCGGGCACCCUGCGCCAGGGCUGGGUCCGCUCACCCAGCAGUCAUGGGAGAAGGCGCCCUGGGCAGGGACUGAGGCCAGAACAGGUGUGGACUGAGUUCUGGGAGGAGGAGCCACUUCUGCUGCGCCUGGAGGGAGGUGGCAGCUGGACGAGGGAUAGAACUUGGGACCUUGUGCUUGUGAGGCAGGUGGUGGAACCACUGAGCCAAAUCCCCAGCUCUGUUUUUCUUUUUUAGAUGGGCCUCCUGUUGCUGAGAUGCUGUCCCCACGGAAGGUGACCCCUGGAACUGAGCUGCGAAGCCCCCAGGAGCCCGGAGGGCCAGCGACACCAGCCUGGGGCACUUUGGGGGCGAACAGUGG
This 443-nucleotide long non-coding RNA is filed under the name Heterocephalus glaber (naked mole-rat). RNAcentral's name for it is "lncRNA (ENSHGLG00100044400.1)". Lineage: Eukaryota; Metazoa; Chordata; Mammalia; Rodentia; Bathyergidae. The record is from RNAcentral.